AUACGGAGGGUGCAAGCGUUAUUCGGAAUCACUGGGCGUAAAGGACGCGUAGGCGGGUUGGCAAGUCAGAUGUGAAAUCCUACAGCUUAACUGUAGAACUGCAUUUGAAACUGCUAACCUAGAGUAUGGGAGGGGGAGAUGGAAUUAGUGGUGUAGGGGUAAAAUCCGUAGAUAUCACUAGGAAUACCGAAAGCGAAGGCGAUCUCCUGGAACAUAACUGACGCUAAGGCGUGAAGGCGUGGGGAGCAAACAGGAUUAGAUACCCUAGUAGUCC
This 274-nucleotide ribosomal RNA is filed under the name uncultured bacterium. RNAcentral's name for it is "partial 16S ribosomal RNA". It matches the Rfam family "Bacterial small subunit ribosomal RNA", at positions 523 to 796 of the family's 1533-position model. The record is from RNAcentral.